Molecule: ribosomal RNA, 493 nt
Filed under: uncultured bacterium
Lineage: Bacteria
Description: bacterial SSU rRNA
Rfam family: Bacterial small subunit ribosomal RNA
Source: RNAcentral
AUUGAACGCUGGCGGCAUGCCUAACACAUGCAAGUCGAACGGGGCGCUUCGGCGCCUAGUGGCGGACGGGUGAGUAAAGCGUAGGAAUCUGCCUUGUAGUGGGGGACAACCUGGGGAAACUCAGGCUAAUACCGCAUACGCUCGCGAGAGGAAAGCGGGGGAUCUUCGGACCUCGCGCCGCAAGAAGAGCCUACGUCCGAUUAGCUAGUUGGUAGGGUAAAAGCCUACCAAGGCGACGAUCGGUAGCUGGUCUGAGAGGAUGAUCAGCCACACUGGGACUGAGACACGGCCCAGACUCCUACGGGAGGCAGCAGUGGGGAAUAUUGGACAAUGGGCGCAAGCCUGAUCCAGCAAUGCCGCGUGGGUGAAGAAGGCCUGCGGGUUGUAAAGCCCUUUAAGUGGGGAGGAACGGCGGGAUGCGAACAGUGUUCUGCUCUGACGUUACCCACAGAAUAAGCACCGGCUAACUCCGUGCCAGCAGCCGCGGUAAAGU